GCGACAGGCUUAACACAUGCAAGUCGAGGGGCAGCGGUGGUGAAGGCUUGCCUUUACCAGCCGGCGACCGGCGCACGGGUGAGUAACACGUAUGCAACCUGCCUGCCACAGCCGGAUAAUCGGGAGAAAUUCCGUCUAAUACGGCAUAAUGCACCUAUGGGACAUCCUGUUGGUGCCAAAGGUUGAUUCCGGUGGCGGAUGGGCAUGCGUCGCAUUAGUUAGUUGGCGGUGUAACGGACCACCAAGACGACGAUGCGUAGGGGUUCUGAGAGGAAGGUCCCCCACACUGGUACUGAGACACGGACCAGACUCCUACGGGAGGCAGCAGUGAGGAAUAUUGGUCAAUGGGCGGGAGCCUGAACCAGCCAAGUCGCGUGAGGGAUGACGGCCCUAUGGGUUGUAAACCUCUUUUGCCGGGGAGCAAAGUGCCGCACGUGUGCGGUUUGGAGAGUACCCGGAGAAAAAGCAUCGGCUAACUCCGUGCCAGCAGCCGCGGUAAUACGGAGGAUGCGAGCGUUAUCCGGAUUUAUUGGGUUUAAAGGGUGCGUAGGCGGACGCUUAAGUCAGCGGUAAAAUUGCGGGGCUCAACCUCGUCGAGCCGUUGAAACUGGGUGCCUUGAGUGGGCGAGAAGUACGCGGAAUGCGUGGUGUAGCGGUGAAAUGCAUAGAUAUCACGCAGAACUCCGAUUGCGAAGGCAGCGUACCGGCGCCCAACUGACGCUGAAGCACGAAGGCGUGGGUAUCGAACAGGAUUAGAUACCCUGGUAGUCCACGCAGUAAACGAUGAAUGCUAGUUGUCCGGGGCGAUUGAGUUCUGGGUGACACAGCGAAAGCGUUAAGCAUUCCACCUGGGGAGUACGCCGGCAACGGUGAAACUCAAAGGAAUUGACGGGGGCCCGCACAAGCGGAGGAACAUGUGGUUUAAUUCGAUGAUACGCGAGGAACCUUACCCGGGCUCAAACGCAGGAGGGAUGUUUUUGAAAGGAGGCAGCCAGCAAUGGUCUCCUGCGAGGUGCUGCAUGGUUGUCGUCAGCUCGUGCCGUGAGGUGUCGGCUUAAGUGCCAUAACGAGCGCAACCCCUACCUACAGUUGCCAUCGCGUGAUGGCGGGCACUCUGUGGGGACUGCCUGCGCAAGCAGUGAGGAAGGCGGGGAUGACGUCAAAUCAGCACGGCCCUUACGUCCGGGGCGACACACGUGUUACAAUGGCAGGUACAGCGGGAAGCCACCCGGCGACGGGGCGCGGAACCCGAAAACCUGUCUCAGUUCGGAUUGGAGUCUGCAACCCGACUCCAUGAAGCUGGAUUCGCUAGUAAUCGCGCAUCAGCCACGGCGCGGUGAAUACGUUCCCGGGC
RNAcentral lists this ribosomal RNA (1354 nucleotides) under uncultured bacterium. RNAcentral's name for it is "bacterial SSU rRNA". It matches the Rfam family "Bacterial small subunit ribosomal RNA", at positions 39 to 1379 of the family's 1533-position model. The record is from RNAcentral.